RNAcentral lists this ribosomal RNA (324 nucleotides) under uncultured bacterium. RNAcentral describes it as "bacterial SSU rRNA". It matches the Rfam family "Bacterial small subunit ribosomal RNA", at positions 28 to 334 of the family's 1533-position model. The record is from RNAcentral.
GAUGAACGCUGGCGGCGUGCUUAACACAUGCAAGUCGAACGAAGCGCCUUUGAUUGAUCCUUCGGGUGAGAGAUGAGGUGACUGAGUGGCGGACGGGUGAGUAACGCGUGGGCAACCUGCCUUGUACAGGGGGACAACAGUUGGAAACGACUGCUAAUACCGCAUAAGCGCACAGUACCGCAUGGUACAGUGUGAAAAACUGAGGUGGUACAAGAUGGGCCCGCGUUGGAUUAGCUAGUUGGUGAGGUAACGGCCCACCAAGGCGACGAUCCAUAGCCGACCUGAGAGGGUGACCGGCCACAUUGGGACUGAGACACGGCCCAA